Molecule: unclassified non-coding RNA, 455 nt
Filed under: Hevea brasiliensis (rubber tree)
Lineage: Eukaryota; Viridiplantae; Streptophyta; Magnoliopsida; Malpighiales; Euphorbiaceae
Source: RNAcentral
UGAUGAAGGGGGCACUGAGAAGGCAACCUCGUGUUCCAUCAGUGGAGCAGAUCUUAGCCACGCAUGCUGUAGGAGAUCUGAAAAUGCUCUCAUCAUGGUGGUCUGACCAGAAAGCCACAAUUGACUAGAAUCAUCCUGCUCAUUUUCUUCCGAUGCCGAGUUUUCCCAACACUGAGCUAUCACUGCUAGUGUUGCAAAGCACUGUUCCACCAUCUGAGGCCAUGGCUCCAGAUCUAAAGGCAAGUUCUUUGAAGUUUCUUUAACCAACAGACAAACAAUAUCUGGAAUAUGCGGUGAAAGUUUUUCAGUUGCAACCUCGACCAUAGUACUUAGAAGCUGAAAGUAAAUGAAGCUAUCUUCUUCCUCAUCACUAAUCCUAUGACAAACCACCUGAAGAAGUGGUAACCACUCAGGUGGCAUGUACUCAUUCUGCAGUACCAAAAGGCCAAGCAUUA